AGUGAACGCUGGCGGUAGGCCUAACACAUGCAAGUCGAACGGCAGCACCGUAAGUGCUUGCUCUUACGGGUGGCGAGUGGCGGACGGGUGAGGAAUACAUCGGAAUCUACUUUUUCGUGGGGGCUAACGUCGGGAAACUUCCGCUGAUACCGCAUUCGACCUACGGGUGUAAGCAGGGGUUCUUUGAGCUUUUUGCGAUUGAAUGAGCCGAUGUCGGAUGAGCUAGUUGGCGGGGUAAAGGCCCACCAAGGCUACACUCCGUAGCUGGUCUGACAGGAAGAAUACCCAGCCGGGAACUGAGAAACGGCCCAGACACCGACGGUAAGAAACAGUGGAGAAUAUUAGACAAGGGAGGAAAGCCGAAUCCAGCCAUACGGCGUGGGUGAAGAAGGACUUCGGGUGGGAGAGCCCUGUUGGCGGGAAAGAAAAGCAGCACGUUAAUACCCCACGGUAAUGACGGUACCCAAAGAAUAAGCACCGGCUAACUUCGUG
RNAcentral lists this ribosomal RNA (492 nucleotides) under uncultured bacterium. Its description in RNAcentral is "partial 16S ribosomal RNA". It matches the Rfam family "Bacterial small subunit ribosomal RNA", at positions 29 to 507 of the family's 1533-position model. The record is from RNAcentral.